GCUUCAGGGACAGGAGAAGUUUUUUCUAAAUUUUUUAUAAAAGUUUAAUCUUCUUGUUCUAUUUUGUUGGGGUGACAAAAAUAUAAAUACUUUAACUGUUAUAUGGUGAAAACAAUGAUUAUUGGAGUUUAAUUGAUCCUUAUUAAAGAUUAAAAGACUAAGUU
This 164-nucleotide ribosomal RNA is filed under the name Pleistacantha sanctijohannis. Its description in RNAcentral is "partial 16S rRNA". The record is from RNAcentral. Lineage: Eukaryota; Metazoa; Arthropoda; Malacostraca; Decapoda; Oregoniidae.